CCUACGGGAGGCAGCAGUAGGGAAUCUUCCACAAUGGGCGAAAGCCUGAUGGAGCAACGCCGCGUGAGUGAUGAAGGCCUUCGGGUUGUAAAACUCUGUCAUUCGGGACGAACCGGAGUCUGAGGAAAUGCAGACUCUCUGACGGUACCGGAGGAGGAAGCCCCGGCUAACUACGUGCCAGCAGCCGCGGUAAUACGUAGGGGGCAAGCGUUGUCCGGAUUCACUGGGCGUAAAGCGCGCGCAGGCGGUGAUGUAAGUCUGAGGUGAAAACCCGAAGCUCAACUUCGGGACUGCCUUGGAUACUGCGUCACUUGAGGAUAGGAGAGGCAAGGGGAAUUCCACGUGUAGCGGUGAAUGCGUAGAGAUGUGGAGGAACACCUGUGGCGAAGGCGCCUUGCUGGCCUAUUUCUGACGCUGAGGCGCGAAAGCGUGGGGAGCAAACAGGAUUAGAUACCCUGGUAGUCCACGCUGUAAACGAUGAGUGCCAGGUGUAGGUGGGCUCAUACCCAUCUGUGCCGAAGCUAACGCAUUAAGCACUCCGCCUGGGGAGUCGGUGCGAGCUGAACUCAAAUGAAUUGACGG
This 582-nucleotide ribosomal RNA is filed under the name uncultured bacterium. RNAcentral's name for it is "bacterial SSU rRNA". It matches the Rfam family "Bacterial small subunit ribosomal RNA", at positions 338 to 916 of the family's 1533-position model. The record is from RNAcentral.